AGAGUUUGAUCCUGGCUCAGGACGAACGCUGGCGGCGUGCCUAAUACAUGCAAGUAGAACGCUGAAGAGAGGAGCUUGCUCUUCUUGGAUGAGUUGCGAACGGGUGAGUAACGCGUAGGUAACCUGCCUUGUAGCGGGGGAUAACUAUUGGAAACGAUAGCUAAUACCGCAUAACAAUGGAUGACACAUGUCAUUUAUUUGAAAGGGGCAAUUGCUCCACUACAAGAUGGACCUGCGUUGUAUUAGCUAGUAGGUGAGGUAAUGGCUCACCUAGGCGACGAUACAUAGCCGACCUGAGAGGGUGAUCGGCCACACUGGGACUGAGACACGGCCCAGACUCCUACGGGAGGCAGCAGUAGGGAAUCUUCGGCAAUGGGGGCAACCCUGACCGAGCAACGCCGCGUGAGUGAAGAAGGUUUUCGGAUCGUAAAGCUCUGUUGUAAGUCAAGAACGGGUGUGAGAGUGGAAAGUUCACACUGUGACGGUAGCUUACCAGAAAGGGACGGCUAACUACGUGCCAGCAGCCGCGGUAAUACGUAGGUCCCGAGCGUUGUCCGGAUUUAUUGGGCGUAAAGCGAGCGCAGGCGGUUUGAUAAGUCUGAAGUUAAAGGCUGUGGCUCAACCAUAGUUCGCUUUGGAAACUGUCAAACUUGAGUGCAGAAGGGGAGAGUGGAAUUCCAUGUGUAGCGGUGAAAUGCGUAGAUAUAUGGAGGAACACCGGUGGCGAAAGCGGCUCUCUGGUCUGUAACUGACGCUGAGGCUCGAAAGCGUGGGGAGCAAACAGGAUUAGAUACCCUGGUAGUCCACGCCGUAAACGAUGAGUGCUAGGUGUUGGAUCCUUUCCGGGAUUCAGUGCCGCAGCUAACGCAUUAAGCACUCCGCCUGGGGAGUACGACCGCAAGGUUGAAACUCAAAGGAAU
Molecule: ribosomal RNA, 920 nt
Filed under: human gut metagenome
Description: bacterial SSU rRNA
Rfam family: Bacterial small subunit ribosomal RNA
Source: RNAcentral